Non-coding RNA from Neolamprologus brichardi, 268 nucleotides. The record is from RefSeq and is a predicted model, not a curated record. Lineage: Eukaryota; Metazoa; Chordata; Actinopteri; Cichliformes; Cichlidae.
UAAUAACACAACAAGGGGUCCUAAAGCCUCAUCCGCACAACACAGUCCGUCCUUCACCCUCUGACACUCACCCCACGCUCUGUCUUGUGCUGCAAAUCCACUCUCUCCGGGUCUCCAUCCCUUCAUCUGAUCCUCAGUAAUCAGAUUACUGCCGCGCACCUGAACGCGCCCUAUCAUGUCAGACAACGAGGAAGUGGUGGAGGAGUAUGAGGAGGAGGUGGAAGAAGAGGAGGCCGCUGAAGAGGAGAAAGGGGUAGAUGAGGAGGAG